GAUGAACGCUGGCGACGUGGAUAAGGCAUGCAAGUCGAAUGGGAGCGGGGGAGAAGCUUGCUUUUCCUGCCGGCGAGUGGCGAACGGGUGAGUAAUACAUCGGAACGUGCCCUGUAGUGGGGGAUAACUAGUCGAAAGAUUAGCUAAUACCGCAUACGACCUGAGGGUGAAAGUGGGGGACCGCAAGGCCUCAUGCUAUAGGAGCGGCCGAUGUCUGAUUAGCUAGGUGGUGGGGUAAAGGCCUACCAAGGCGACGAUCAGUAGCUGGUCUGAGAGGACGAUCAGCCACACUGGGACUGAGACACGGCCCAGACUCCGACGGGAGGCAGCAGUGGGGAAUUUUGGACAAUGGGCGAAAGCCUGAUCCAGCAAUGCCGCGUGUGUGAAGAAGGCCUUCGGGUUGUAAAGCACUUUUGUCCGGAAAGAAAUGGCUCUGGUUAAUACCUGGGGUCGAUGACGGUACCGGAAGAAUAAGGACCGGCUAACUACGUGCCAGCCGCCGCUGUAA
Molecule: ribosomal RNA, 508 nt
Filed under: uncultured bacterium
Lineage: Bacteria
Description: partial 16S ribosomal RNA
Rfam family: Bacterial small subunit ribosomal RNA
Source: RNAcentral